CCCUUAGAUGUUCUGGGCUGCACGCGCGCUACACUGAUGCGCUCAACGAGUUUACGACCUUGCCCGGAAGGGUUGGGUAAUCUUUUUAAAACGCAUCGUGAUGGGGAUAGAUUAUUGCAAUUAUUAAUCUUUAACGAGGAAUUCCUAGUAAGCGCAAGUCAGCAGCUUGCGUUGAUUACGUCCCUGCCCUUUGUACACACCGCCCGUCGCUACUACCGAUUGAAUGGUUUAGCGAGAUCUUCGGAUUGGCGCCACUGCGGCUCAGCAAUGGGCUCGGUGGAUGCCGAAAAGUUGAUCAAACUUGAUCAUUUAGAGGAAGUAAAAGUCGUAACA
This 333-nucleotide ribosomal RNA is filed under the name uncultured eukaryote. Its description in RNAcentral is "partial 18S ribosomal RNA". It matches the Rfam family "Eukaryotic small subunit ribosomal RNA", at positions 1470 to 1796 of the family's 1831-position model. The record is from RNAcentral.